UUCGUUCAUUUUUUUGAAUUCGGACGGUUGGCCUUUUAUUCUCGACGAGAUUCGGACGAAUAAGAGAACGAUAUCCCGACGGAAUAUGAUAAAGGAUCCGACAUUUGUCUUCGUAUGAAGAAGGAACCAUUUAGCACAGUUGCAGUAUUGCUCCCAGUGGAACGAUAUUAUACGAGAAAUGUCUGCUUUUUGACAAGUAUCCAGCUUGAGCCAUCCAAUUUCUUUCAAAUAGCAAUGCAACUAUAUAAUGAUAUUUGUAUAAACUCAACAGAAAAAAUCUAAUAAUUGUAUCUCAUUGAUAUCAUACUUACAUUACUUACAUGAAAAAAAUCCUAAAAGCAUAAUUUCAUCAUGGAUUGAAAUUAAAAGAAAAAAAGAAAAGAAAAGAAAAGAAAAAAUCGACACAAGCACACUCAAACGAUGAUUCGAUAAGACUGGAUCAAUAAUUUAUAUUAUUGAAAUCAUCUUGUUCAAGUUUAAGGGAGCAGGAAAUGAAAGAGUGUAUCUUACGUAAGUACAAGUUACACGAAAUUCGAGAUGGAACGAUCUCGCCAGUUUCCCUCGAUACUGCAGUUCUCUUGCUUCUUGAAAAUGUAAUCUUUUCUGGGAUUGGGGAAACUCGGGGAUGGCCGAAGUUGUACGGAGGAACCUUUUAUAAAUUCAGCAGCCGGUAUUCGGUAACUUUUGCAAAGGUUUGGCCUGGCGAAGUUUCCAUUAUUCCACCAGUUCCAUUGUCGCGUCUCAAUUUCGCGUUCCUCAAAUUCAAGAUGCUGAAUCGAUUCCAAUAUCCUUUUGUCCGCGAUGGCACACGAUGACACCAGAUAAGUAAUUUCAUUAAAGAUAUACGCGGGGAUCGAUUUAUUCUCAGCACUUGGUGGUAACAGAUUUAUACAAAAAUAUAAAUAUAUAAAUAUAUUUUUUUU
This is a long non-coding RNA of Apis dorsata (giant honeybee), 923 nucleotides long. RefSeq lists it as uncharacterized. Lineage: Eukaryota; Metazoa; Arthropoda; Insecta; Hymenoptera; Apidae. The record is from RefSeq and is a predicted model, not a curated record. The transcript has 3 exons.